UGGGGAAUAUUGCACAAUGGGCGCAAGCCUGAUGCAGCCAUGCCGCGUGUAUGAAGAAGGCCUUCGGGUUGUAAAGUACUUUCAGUCGGGAGGAAGGUGGUAAGGUUAAUAGCCUUAUCAAUUGACGUUACCGACAGAAGAAGCACCGGCUAACUCCGUGCCAGCAGCCGCGGUAAUACGGAGGGUGCAAGCGUUAAUCGGAAUUACUGGGCGUAAAGCGCACGCAGGCGGUUGAUUGAGUCAGAUGUGAAAUCCCCGGGCUUAACCCGGGAAUUGCAUCUGAUACUGGUCAGCUAGAGUCUUGUAGAGGGGGGUAGAAUUCCAUGUGUAGCGGUGAAAUGCGUAGAGAUCUGGAGGAAUACCGGUGGCGAAGGCGGCCCCCUGGACAAAGACUGACGCUCAGGUGCGAAAGCGUGGGGAGCAAACAGG
RNAcentral lists this ribosomal RNA (429 nucleotides) under Chloroflexota bacterium. RNAcentral's name for it is "Chloroflexi bacterium partial 16S ribosomal RNA". It matches the Rfam family "Bacterial small subunit ribosomal RNA", at positions 355 to 776 of the family's 1533-position model. The record is from RNAcentral. Lineage: Bacteria; Bacillati; Chloroflexota.